GACGAACGCUGGCGGCGUGCUUAACACAUGCAAGUCGAACGGAAAGGCCCUGCUUGCAGGGUACUCGAGUGGCGAACGGGUGAGUAACACGUGGGUGAUCUGCCCUGCACUUCGGGAUAAGCCUGGGAAACUGGGUCUAAUACCGGAUAGGAGCCAUUUUUAGUGUGAUGGUUGGAAAGUUUUUUCGGUGUAGGAUGAGCUCGCGGCCUAUCAGCUUGUUGGUGGGGUAAUGGCCUACCAAGGCGGCGACGGGUAGCCGGCCUGAGAGGGUGGACGGCCACAUUGGGACUGAGAUACGGCCCAGACUCCUACGGGAGGCAGCAGUGGGGAAUAUUGCACAAUGGGCGCAAGCCUGAUGCAGCGACGCCGCGUGGGGGAUGACGGCCUUCGGGUUGUAAACUCCUUUCGCUAGGGACGAAGUUUUUUGUGACGGUACCUAGAUAAGAAGCACCGGCUAACUACGUG
RNAcentral lists this ribosomal RNA (465 nucleotides) under uncultured bacterium. Its description in RNAcentral is "partial 16S ribosomal RNA". It matches the Rfam family "Bacterial small subunit ribosomal RNA", at positions 28 to 507 of the family's 1533-position model. The record is from RNAcentral.